GACAGAGGUUGCAAACGUUGUUCGGAAUUACUGGGCAUAAAGCGCACGUAGGCGGUCCGUUAAGUCAUGUGUGAAAUCCCCCGGCUCAACCGGGGAAUUGCGCCUGAUACUGGCGGGCUAGAGGUCGAUAGGGGUGAGCGGAACUCCAGGUGGAGCGGUGAAAUGCGUAGAUAUCUGGAGGAACACCGGUGGCGAAAGCGGCUCACUGGUCCGGUACUGACGCUGAGGUGCGAAAGCGUGGGGAGCAAACAGG
RNAcentral lists this ribosomal RNA (253 nucleotides) under uncultured bacterium. Its description in RNAcentral is "partial 16S ribosomal RNA". It matches the Rfam family "Bacterial small subunit ribosomal RNA", at positions 524 to 776 of the family's 1533-position model. The record is from RNAcentral.